Molecule: ribosomal RNA, 440 nt
Filed under: uncultured bacterium
Lineage: Bacteria
Description: partial 16S ribosomal RNA
Rfam family: Bacterial small subunit ribosomal RNA
Source: RNAcentral
CCUACGGGAGGCAGCAGUAGGGAAUAUUGCUCAAUGGGGGAAACCCUGAAGCAGCAACGCCGCGUGGAGGAUGAAGGUUUUCGGAUUGUAAACUCCUUUUGUUAGAGAAGCUAAUGACGGUACCUAACGAAUAAGCACCGGCUAAGUCCGUGCCCGCAGCCGCGGUAAUAUGGAGGGUGCAAGCGUUACUCGGAAUCACUGGGCGUAAAGAGCGUGUAGGCGGGAUAGCAAGUCAGAUGUGAAAUCCUAUGGCUUAACCAUAGAACUGCAGUUGAAACUGUUAUUCUAGAGUAUGGGAGAGGGAGGUGGAAUUCUUGGUGUAGGGGUAAAAUCCGUAGAGAUCAAGAGGAAUACUCAUUGCGAAGGCGACCUGCUAGAACAUAACUGACGCUGAUGCGCGAAAGCGUGGGGAGCGAACAGGAUUAGAUACCCCUGUAGUC